Molecule: ribosomal RNA, 943 nt
Filed under: Leuconostoc mesenteroides
Lineage: Bacteria; Bacillati; Bacillota; Bacilli; Lactobacillales; Lactobacillaceae
Description: bacterial SSU rRNA
Rfam family: Bacterial small subunit ribosomal RNA
Source: RNAcentral
UACAUGCAGUCGAACGCACAGCGAAAGGUGCUUGCACCUUUCAAGUGAGUGGCGAACGGGUGAGUAACACGUGGACAACCUGCCUCAAGGCUGGGGAUAACAUUUGGAAACAGAUGCUAAUACCGAAUAAAACUUAGUGUCGCAUGACACAAAGUUAAAAGGCGCUUCGGCGUCACCUAGAGAUGGAUCCGCGGUGCAUUAGUUAGUUGGUGGGGUAAAGGCCUACCAAGACAAUGAUGCAUAGCCGAGUUGAGAGACUGAUCGGCCACAUUGGGACUGAGACACGGCCCAAACUCCUACGGGAGGCUGCAGUAGGGAAUCUUCCACAAUGGGCGAAAGCCUGAUGGAGCAACGCCGCGUGUGUGAUGAAGGCUUUCGGGUCGUAAAGCACUGUUGUAUGGGAAGAACAGCUAGAAUAGGAAAUGAUUUUAGUUUGACGGUACCAUACCAGAAAGGGACGGCUAAAUACGUGCCAGCAGCCGCGGUAAUACGUAUGUCCCGAGCGUUAUCCGGAUUUAUUGGGCGUAAAGCGAGCGCAGACGGUUUAUUAAGUCUGAUGUGAAAGCCCGGAGCUCAACUCCGGAAUGGCAUUGGAAACUGGUUAACUUGAGUGCAGUAGAGGUAAGUGGAACUCCAUGUGUAGCGGUGGAAUGCGUAGAUAUAUGGAAGAACACCAGUGGCGAAGGCGGCUUACUGGACUGCAACUGACGUUGAGGCUCGAAAGUGUGGGUAGCAAACAGGAUUAGAUACCCUGGUAGUCCACACCGUAAACGAUGAACACUAGGUGUUAGGAGGUUUCCGCCUCUUAGUGCCGAAGCUAACGCAUUAAGUGUUCCGCCUGGGGAGUACGACCGCAAGGUUGAAACUCAAAGGAAUUGACGGGGACCCGCACAAGCGGUGGAGCAUGUGGUUUAAUUCGAAGCAACGCGAAGAACCUUACCAG